GAUGAACGCUGGCGGCGUGCUUAACACAUGCAAGUCGAACGAUGAAGCCCAGCUUGCUGGGUGGAUUAGUGGCGAACGGGUGAGUAACACGUGAGUAACCUGCCCUUGACUCUGGGAUAAGCCUGGGAAGCUGGGUCUAAUACUGGAUAUGACUUCUCAUCGCAUGGUGGGGGGUGGAAAGAUUUAUUGGUCUUGGAUGGACUCGCGGCCUAUCAGCUUGUUGGUGAGGUAAUGGCUCACCAAGGCGACGACGGGUAGCCGGCCUGAGAGGGUGACCGGCCACACUGGGACUGAGACACGGCCCAGACUCCUACGGGAGGCAGCAGUGGGGAAUAUUGCACAAUGGGCGCAAGCCUGAUGCAGCGACGCCGCGUGAGGGAUGACGGCCUUCGGGUUGUAAACCUCUUUCAGUAGGGAAGAAGCGAGAGUGACGGUACCUGCAGAAGAAGCGCCGGCUAACUACGUG
RNAcentral lists this ribosomal RNA (466 nucleotides) under uncultured bacterium. RNAcentral describes it as "partial 16S ribosomal RNA". It matches the Rfam family "Bacterial small subunit ribosomal RNA", at positions 28 to 507 of the family's 1533-position model. The record is from RNAcentral.